This 253-nucleotide ribosomal RNA is filed under the name uncultured bacterium. Its description in RNAcentral is "partial 16S ribosomal RNA". It matches the Rfam family "Bacterial small subunit ribosomal RNA", at positions 524 to 776 of the family's 1533-position model. The record is from RNAcentral.
UACAGAGGUCUCAAGCGUUGUUCGGAUUCAUUGGGCGUAAAGGGUGCGUAGGCGGCGCGGUAAGUCGGGUGUGAAAUUUCGGAGCUUAACUCCGAAACUGCAUUCGAUACUGCUGUGCUUGAGGACUGGAGAGGAGACUGGAAUCUACGGUGUAGCGGUGAAAUGCGUAGAUAUCGUAAGGAAGACCAGUGGCGAAGGCGGGUCUCUGGACAGUUCCUGACGCUGAGGCACGAAGGCCAGGGGAGCAAACGGG